RNAcentral lists this ribosomal RNA (693 nucleotides) under uncultured Bacteroidales bacterium. RNAcentral's name for it is "bacterial SSU rRNA". It matches the Rfam family "Bacterial small subunit ribosomal RNA", at positions 63 to 751 of the family's 1533-position model. Lineage: Bacteria; Pseudomonadati; Bacteroidota; Bacteroidia; Bacteroidales. The record is from RNAcentral.
CAUCAGUUUGGUUUGCUUGCAAACCAAAGCUGGCGACCGGCGCACGGGUGAGUAACACGUAUCCAACCUGCCUCAUACUCGGGGAUAGCCUUUCGAAAGAAAGAUUAAUAUCCGAUAGCAUAUAUUUCCCGCAUGGGUUUUAUAUUAAAGAAAUUCGGUAUGAGAUGGGGAUGCGUUCCAUUAGUUUGUUGGCGGGGUAACGGCCCACCAAGACUACGAUGGAUAGGGGUUCUGAGAGGAAGGUCCCCCACAUUGGAACUGAGACACGGUCCAAACUCCUACGGGAGGCAGCAGUGAGGAAUAUUGGUCAAUGGACGCGAGUCUGAACCAGCCAAGUAGCGUGAAGGAUGACUGCCCUAUGGGUUGUAAACUUCUUUUAUAUGGGAAUAAAGUGGUCCACGUGUGGAUUUUUGUAUGUACCAUAUGAAUAAGGAUCGGCUAACUCCGUGCCAGCAGCCGCGGUAAUACGGAGGAUCCGAGCGUUAUCCGGAUUUAUUGGGUUUAAAGGGAGCGUAGGCGGAUUGUUAAGUCAGUUGUGAAAGUUUGCGGCUCAACCGUAAAAUUGCAGUUGAUACUGGCAGUCUUGAGUGCAGUAGAGGUGGGCGGAAUUCGUGGUGUAGCGGUGAAAUGCUUAGAUAUCACGAAGAACUCCGAUUGCGAAGGCAGCUCACUGGAGUGUAACUGACGCUGAUG